Molecule: ribosomal RNA, 253 nt
Filed under: uncultured bacterium
Lineage: Bacteria
Description: partial 16S ribosomal RNA
Rfam family: Bacterial small subunit ribosomal RNA
Source: RNAcentral
UACAGAGGGGGCAAGCGUUGUUCGGAAUUACUGGGCGUAAAGGGCGCGUAGGCGGCCCGCUAAGUCGAACGUGAAAUCCCCGAGCUCAACUCGGGAACUGCGUCCGAUACUGGCGGGCUUGAAUCCGGGAGAGGGAUGCGGAAUUCCAGGUGUAGCGGUGAAAUGCGUAGAUAUCGGGAGGAACACCAGUGGCGAAGGCGGCUUCCUGGCCUGUUCUUGACGCUGAGGCGCGAAAGCUAGGGGAGCAAACGGG